Molecule: ribosomal RNA, 243 nt
Filed under: uncultured Fragilariaceae
Lineage: Eukaryota; Bacillariophyta; Fragilariophyceae; Fragilariales; Fragilariaceae
Description: partial Bacterial large subunit ribosomal RNA
Rfam family: Bacterial large subunit ribosomal RNA
Source: RNAcentral
UUUAGGGCUAGCCUCGGAAUGUAGCGUGUUGGAGGUAGAGCACUGUUUUGGUGCGGGGCCCAUCUCGGGUUACUAAACUAAGAUAAACUCCGAAUGCCAAUCACGUAUGUCCGGGAGUCAGACAGUGAGUGAUAAGAUCCAUUGUCGAAAGGGGAACAGCCCAGAUCGUCAGUUAAGGUCCCUAAGUGUGUGUUAAGUGGAAAAGGAUGUGAAGUUGCAUAGACAACUAGGAUGUUGGCUUAG